Coregonus clupeaformis (lake whitefish) is the source of this 460-nucleotide long non-coding RNA. RefSeq lists it as uncharacterized. NCBI's taxonomy places the organism in Eukaryota, Metazoa, Chordata, Actinopteri, Salmoniformes, Salmonidae. The transcript is spliced from 3 exons. The record is from RefSeq and is a predicted model, not a curated record.
CCUGGGGAGCGUCGGGUUCAUUCACCCUGGUACCUGGGGAGCGUCAGGUUCAUUCACCCUGGUACCUGGGGAGCGUCGGGUUCAUUCACCCUGGUACCUGGGGAGCGUCGGGUUCAUUCACCCUGGUACCUGGGGAGCGUCAGGUUCAUUCACCCUGGUACCUGGGGAGCGUCGGGUUCAUUCACCCUGGUACCUGGGGAGCGUCAGGUUCAUUCACCCUGGUACCUGGGGAGCGUCGGGUUCAUUCACCCUGGGGAGCGUCAGGUUCAUUCACCCUGGUAGUGGAGCGUCGGGUUCAUUCACCCUGGUACCUGGGGAGCGUCAGGUUCAUUCACCCUGGUACCUGGGGAGCGUCGGGUUCAUUCACCCUGGUACCUGGGGAGCGUCAGGUUCAUUCACCCUGGUACCUGGGGAGCGUCGGGUUCAUUCACCCUGGUACCUGGGGAGCGUCAGGUUCAUU